UGGUGAAGGAGCUAAGUAAAUGGGCUCUGGGAUCACACCACCUGGGUCCAUUUUGAGCUCUGCCUGUUAGGUCGGGGUAGGUUCAACCCCUGUAGCACAAACACCAGAUGCAUCCUGGGAAAUACUGUUCUCUUUAAAACUGCAGGAGUGGCCCCCGUUGAGAUGGAGGUUGAACAAGCAUUUCCCUAGAGUCCUGUGGUCCAUAGCAUUGUCUGCUAAGAUGCUGGGCUGUCCUGGAGCUGCGGCUGGAGUCAGGUUCAAAUGCAGCACCCGGCAGCACACUACACAGAGACGGUGUCUCACUCUGUCAGCCCAGGCUGGAGUGAAGUGGCGCAAUCUUGGCUCACUGCAGCCUCCGUCUCCUGAAUUCAAGCAAUUCUCCUGCCUCAGCCUCCCAAGAAGCUCAGAUUACAG
This is a long non-coding RNA of Homo sapiens (human), 414 nucleotides long. RefSeq lists it as uncharacterized. The transcript has 3 exons. The record is from RefSeq and is a predicted model, not a curated record. Lineage: Eukaryota; Metazoa; Chordata; Mammalia; Primates; Hominidae.